Non-coding RNA from Anoxybacillus flavithermus, 334 nucleotides. NCBI's taxonomy places the organism in Bacteria, Bacillati, Bacillota, Bacilli, Caryophanales, Anoxybacillaceae. The record is from Rfam.
ACUGACCCAUCUUGUCGAACAAGGUGGCUCCCGUUAACAAAACGCCAUCGGCGGGAGUAAAAUCUCGUGAAUUGCUGGAACACCCUAAAGCCAAUUGAACCACAACGUAGCUGGCAACGGCAAGCGUGACGGUGUAAAAAUCAAUUGGAUGGAACAAUGGGCGACCAGCAGCCAAGCAUCUCUGGAAACGGAGAUGAAGGUUCAGAGACUAUCGAAACUUCCUGAUUUGAAAAUGGAAGGAGUAGACCAUCAUAUUCGGUGACGAGAUGAUGGGGCACGAGACAAAGAGGCUUCCUCUUUGAUGAGAUAGUCCGAUCUCUAGUGAAAGCUAGAG